RNAcentral lists this ribosomal RNA (424 nucleotides) under Verrucomicrobiota bacterium. Its description in RNAcentral is "Verrucomicrobia bacterium partial 16S ribosomal RNA". It matches the Rfam family "Bacterial small subunit ribosomal RNA", at positions 355 to 776 of the family's 1533-position model. Lineage: Bacteria; Pseudomonadati; Verrucomicrobiota. The record is from RNAcentral.
UGAGGAAUAUUGGUCAAUGGGCGAGAGCCUGAACCAGCCAAGUAGCGUGCAGGAUGACGGCCCUAUGGGUUGUAAACUGCUUUUAUAUGGGAAUAAAGUGAGGGACGUGUCCCUUAUUGCAUGUACCAUACGAAUAAGGACCGGCUAAUUCCGUGCCAGCAGCCGCGGUAAUACGGAAGGUUCGGGCGUUAUCCGGAUUUAUUGGGUUUAAAGGGAGCGUAGGCCGUUUGGUAAGCGUGUUGUGAAAUGUAGGAGCUCAACUUCUAGAUUGCAGCGCGAACUGUCAGACUUGAGUGCGCACAACGUAGGCGGAAUUCAUGGUGUAGCGAUGAAAUGCUUAGAUAUCAUGAAGAACUCCGAUUGCGAAGGCAGCUUACGGGAGCGCAACUGACGCUGAAGCUCGAAGGUGCGGGUAUCGAACAGG